AAUAUUGGGCAAUGGGGGAAACCCUGACCCAGCGACGCCGCGUGAGGGAAGAAGGUCUUCGGAUUGUAAACAUUUGUCAACAUGGACGAAACAAAUGACGGUACCUGAAGAGGAAGCCACGGCUAACUACGUGCCAGCAGCCGCGGUAAUACGUAGGUGGCGAGCGUUAUCCGGAAUUGCUGGGUGUAAAGGGUGUGUAGGCGGGAUAGCAAGUCAGAUGUGAAAUGCCGUGGCUUAACUACGGCACUGCAUCAGAAACUGCUGUUCUUGAGGGUGGGAGAGGUAAGUGGAAUUCCUGGUGUAGCGGUGAAAUGCGUAGAUAUCAGGAGGAACACCGGUAGCGAAGGCGACUUACUGGACCAUUACUGACGCUGAUACACGAAAGCGUGGGGAGCAAACAGG
This 402-nucleotide ribosomal RNA is filed under the name uncultured bacterium. Its description in RNAcentral is "partial 16S ribosomal RNA". It matches the Rfam family "Bacterial small subunit ribosomal RNA", at positions 360 to 776 of the family's 1533-position model. The record is from RNAcentral.